CAGCGGGGUGUAGCAAUACACCGCCGGCGACCGGCGCACGGGUGAGUAACGCGUAUGCAACUUGCCUAUCAGAGGGGGAUAACCCGGCGAAAGUCGGACUAAUACCGCAUGAAGCAGGGGCCCCGCAUGGGGAUAUUUGCUAAAGAUUCAUCGCUGAUAGAUAGGCAUGCGUUCCAUUAGGCAGUUGGCGGGGUAACGGCCCACCAAGGCGACGAUCAGUAGCCGGACUGAGAGGUUAACCCCCACAUUGGUACUGAGACACGGACCAAACUCC
This 274-nucleotide ribosomal RNA is filed under the name uncultured Parabacteroides sp. RNAcentral's name for it is "partial 16S ribosomal RNA". It matches the Rfam family "Bacterial small subunit ribosomal RNA", at positions 67 to 339 of the family's 1533-position model. The record is from RNAcentral. Lineage: Bacteria; Pseudomonadati; Bacteroidota; Bacteroidia; Bacteroidales; Tannerellaceae.